This is a small nuclear RNA of Otolemur garnettii (small-eared galago), 126 nucleotides long. The record is from Ensembl. NCBI's taxonomy places the organism in Eukaryota, Metazoa, Chordata, Mammalia, Primates, Galagidae.
GAAAAGGGCUUUUCCUAUGAAUUGCACAUGUAGGACAACUCAACUGCUCUUUGUGUAGAAUUGACAUCAAGAUAUUUUGGAAGCAUAAUUUUUUGUUACCUGGACAACUGAUGAUCAUUGGUCCUU